ACUUGGUGAUGUGGGCAUUUGCACAAGAGGUCCCUAAAGCUCUCCCAUGUCUUAAAAAAUUGUUCCCUAUGUAGUUGUGAGAAACUAGUGAUUGACUUCCUUAGCU
Small nucleolar RNA from Malania oleifera, 106 nucleotides. The record is from RefSeq and is a predicted model, not a curated record. Lineage: Eukaryota; Viridiplantae; Streptophyta; Magnoliopsida; Santalales; Ximeniaceae.